This is a long non-coding RNA of Pseudopipra pipra, 174 nucleotides long. RefSeq lists it as uncharacterized. Lineage: Eukaryota; Metazoa; Chordata; Aves; Passeriformes; Pipridae. The transcript has 3 exons. The record is from RefSeq and is a predicted model, not a curated record.
AGAGUGAGUGGUUUUGGCUUUCAAGGUGACCAUUGCUUGGAGACUGACUACAGGUUGGUCUGCUUGUAGAGGGUGGAAUGUUAAUUGCUAUUUUCUCAUGAGGUCUGAAUGGAUAUAGAAGCAUCUGCAGGAUGCACACCCAACUCUUGCUGCGCUUAUGAUGCAAAAUGUGGU